Molecule: ribosomal RNA, 206 nt
Filed under: uncultured bacterium
Lineage: Bacteria
Description: partial 16S ribosomal RNA
Rfam family: Bacterial small subunit ribosomal RNA
Source: RNAcentral
CGCGUAGGCGGUUAAUUAAGUUAGAUGUGAAAUCCCUGGGCUUAACCUAGGAACUGCAUCUGAAACUGAUUAGCUGGAGUACAGUAGAGGGUAGUGGAAUUUCCGGUGUAGCGGUGAAAUGCGUAGAUAUCGGAAGGAACACCAGUGGCGAAGGCGGCUACCUGGACUGAUACUGACGCUGAGGCGCGAGAGCGUGGGAGCAAACA